This 706-nucleotide ribosomal RNA is filed under the name uncultured bacterium. Its description in RNAcentral is "bacterial SSU rRNA". It matches the Rfam family "Bacterial small subunit ribosomal RNA", at positions 61 to 768 of the family's 1533-position model. The record is from RNAcentral.
GUCGAGGGGUAUAGGUUUUCGGACCUAGAGACCGGCGCACGGGUGCGUAACGCGUAUGCAAUCUACCUUUUACAGAGGGAUAGCCCAGAGAAAUUUGGAUUAAUACCUCAUAGUAUUAUUGAAUGGCAUCAUUUAAUAAUUAAAGUCACAACGGUAAAAGAUGAGCAUGCGUCCCAUUAGCUUGUUGGUAAGGUAACGGCUUACCAAGGCAACGAUGGGUAGGGGUCCUGAGAGGGAGAUCCCCCACACUGGUACUGAGACACGGACCAGACUCCUACGGGAGGCAGCAGUGAGGAAUAUUGGUCAAUGGGCGCAAGCCUGAACCAGCCAUGCCGCGUGCAGGAUGACGGUCCUAUGGAUUGUAAACUGCUUUUGUACAGGAAGAAACAGUUCUACGUGUAGAACCUUGACGGUACUGUAAGAAUAAGGAUCGGCUAACUCCGUGCCAGCAGCCGCGGUAAUACGGAGGAUCCAAGCGUUAUCCGGAAUCAUUGGGUUUAAAGGGUCCGUAAGCGGUUUUGUAAGUCAGUGGUGAAAGCCCAUCGCUCAACGGUGGAACGGCCAUUGAUACUGCAAGACUUGAAUUAUUAGGAAGUAACUAGAAUAUGUAGUGUAGCGGUGAAAUGCUUAGAGAUUACAUGGAAUACCAAUUGCGAAGGCAGGUUACUACUAAUGGAUUGACGCUGAUGGACGAAAGCGUGGGGAG